AUUGAACGCUGGCGGCAUGCCUUACACAUGCAAGUCGAACGGCAGCGGGCCUUCGGGUGCCGGCGAGUGGCGAACGGGUGAGUAAUGCAUCGGAACGUGCCAUUGAGUGGGGGAUAACGUAGCGAAAGUUGCGCUAAUACCGCAUAUUCUGUGAGCAGGAAAGCAGGGGGACCGCAAGGCCUUGCGCUCUUUGAGCGGCCGAUGUCAGAUUAGCUAGUUGGUGAGGUAAAGGCUUACCAAGGCGACGAUCUGUAGCGGGUCUGAGAGGAUGAUCCGCCACACUGGAACUGAGACACGGUCCAGACUCCUACGGGAGGCAGCAGUGGGGAAUUUUGGACAAUGGGGGGCAACCCUGGAUCCAGCCAUGCCGCGUGAGU
Molecule: ribosomal RNA, 377 nt
Filed under: uncultured bacterium
Lineage: Bacteria
Description: bacterial SSU rRNA
Rfam family: Bacterial small subunit ribosomal RNA
Source: RNAcentral